AUUGAACGCUGGCGGCAGGCCUAACACAUGCAAGUCGAGCGGCUGCAGGGAGCUUGCUCCUGGAUUCAGCGGCGGACGGGUGAGUAAUGCCUAGGAAUCUGCCUGGUAGUGGGGGAUAACGUCCGGAAACGGGCGCUAAUACCGCAUACGUCCUGAGGGAGAAAGUGGGGGAUCUUCGGACCUCACGCUAUCAGAUGAGCCUAGGUCGGAUUAGCUAGUUGGUGGGGUAAAGGCCUACCAAGGCGACGAUCCGUAACUGGUCUGAGAGGAUGAUCAGUCACACUGGAACUGAGACACGGUCCAGACUCCUACGGGAGGCAGCAGUGGGGAAUAUUGGACAAUGGGCGAAAGCCUGAUCCAGCCAUGCCGCGUGUGUGAAGAAGGUCUUCGGAUUGUAAAGCACUUUAGGUUGGGAGGAAGGGCAGUAAGUUAAUACCUUGCUGUUUUGACGGUACCAGCAGAAUAAGCACCGGCUAACUUCGUG
RNAcentral lists this ribosomal RNA (484 nucleotides) under uncultured bacterium. RNAcentral's name for it is "partial 16S ribosomal RNA". It matches the Rfam family "Bacterial small subunit ribosomal RNA", at positions 30 to 507 of the family's 1533-position model. The record is from RNAcentral.